GCCCUUGUAGUUCAAUGGAUAGAACACCGGACUUCUAAGCCGGUUAUGUUGGUUCGAUUCCAACCGAGGGCA
This 72-nucleotide transfer RNA is filed under the name Minisyncoccota bacterium. Its description in RNAcentral is "tRNA-Arg". It matches the Rfam family "tRNA". Rfam says of the family: Transfer RNA (tRNA) molecules are approximately 80 nucleotides in length. Their secondary structure includes four short double-helical elements and three loops (D, anti-codon, and T loops). Lineage: Bacteria; Bacillati; Minisyncoccota. The record is from RNAcentral.